UUUACACAACUUUUUUGGGGGAAAUGUCCUGGCGUCUAAGGUCAGUUACCUACCUAACUGGAGACCCCCUCUGGGAGGUGAAGGGUGUUUGUAGCAGCUGACUCUCUUAAGCUCUGCUUUAGAUAGAUGACAAAAAAGUUCAGGUAAGAUUUCUUUCUGCAUCUGCUAUAGCUCAGAUAUUUUCACUUUGAUUCCAUUUUGGUGGGUUUUUGGUCCCUUCAAUGUUUUAUGGCAUAAUUACAGUCUUCUUCAUAAUUUCUGUGUCUUGAUCUUUAAGCAACAACUUUAAAGCUUGUUGGUUUCACUGUACAUUGUUCAAGACUGAUUUGGGCUGCCUGUAAAUAUUGCGGGAUCUUAGCCUCAUCUAAAACUUCAAACUAAGAAAGGUAACGCAGAAAAAACAAGCUUGUGCAGGGAAACUCCCAUUUUUAAAACCAUCGGAUCUUGUGAGAUUUAUUCACUAUCAUGAGAACAGCACAGGAAAGACCCACCCCCAUGAUUCAAUUUCAAGGGGUAAAAAUAAAUGAAGUACUAAUACAUAUUACAAUGUAGAUGAACCUAGAAAAUAUUGUGCUAAGUGAAAGAAGCCAGUCAUAAAAGCUGACAUAUUGUCUGAUUCUAUUUACAUGAAAUAUCCAGAAUGGGUAAAUUCAUAUAGACAAAGCAGAUUAGCAGCUUCCAGAGUCCCGGGUGAGGGGGUUAUGGAGAGUGCUUAAUGGGUAUCUGAUUUCCUUUUGGGGUUAUAACAAUGGUUUGGAACUAGAUAGAGGUGAGGUUUGCACAACAUUGUAAAUGCAGUGAAUGGCACUUAGUUGUAAACUUUAAAAUGGUUAACCUUAUAUUAUGAGGAAUUUUACCUCAAUUUAAAAAACAAAAGCUGAAAAAAAUCUAUUUAUUUAGAAAUGCAGUAACAGGUUCAAGGCGCAGGCACUGAGAAUCUGGGGUAAAAGGGUAAGCACCUCUGAGAGAUGGAUGAAGGACAACUAUUGUUGGACAUCAAGGUCAGAGCAGAGAGAAGACUGACACAGGGCUGAGCUGUAGGACUAUUAACACAAGACUCCCAAGUCAGCAUUGGAGCUUUGCAGAACUGUUACUUAUGGAUACCCAUUAAAGUGCUCCAUUCUCAAAUAAACACCAUUUUCUUUUAGAGGAGCCUCUCUCUGUUAUUUAGGUUGACAAAGGAUAGGCUGAGAUGAUUAAAGUAGCUCUGCCAAAUAUAAGCAAAUUCUGAUUUAGUAAGAAGAGACUAGGGCCGGGCGCGGUGGCUCACGCCUGUAAUCCCAGCACUUUGGGAGGCCGAGACGGGCGGAUCACGAGGUCAGGAGAUCGAGACCAUCCUGGCUGACACGGUGAAACCCCGUCUCUACUAAAAAUACAAAAAUUAGCCGGGCAUGGUGGCGCGCGCCUGUAGUCCCAGCUACUCGGGAGGCUGAGGCAGGAGAAUGGCGUGAACCCGGGAGGCGGAGCUUGCAGUGAGUCGAGAUCGCGCCACUGCGCUCCAGCCUGGGCGACAGAGCGAAACUCCGUCUCAAAAAAAAAAAAAAAAAAAAAAAGAGACUAUGCAAAAGGAUUUUGCACGUGGGUUGGGGGCUAUUUCUCAGGACCCCAGGAACAUUGCCAACUCCUGGACAGCAGCCUCAGAGGGACAGAUUUUUAGCUUAAUGUAAAGAAGUUCCUAAGAGUCACAGUUUUAAAGGGUGAAUAGGUGUUCCUGGUCACUGGGUUUAUUUAAGCAACUACUAACUGUCCAAUCCACAGAGACUAUCAAAGUGUCACAAAAUUGGUUCAAGACAUCGACCAAAAGGCUUGUCUGAACCUGGGAUUCUGUGGCUUUCAGAGUAUAAGACACUGAGAACAUAACCAUUCACUUGAGAAAAAAAAACAAAACCUCAAACAUUAUCUUACAGAUAGACAUCUUCAGCAAGUUUAACUUCAAAUAUAAGAGAUAUAGCAUUUGGUUCUAUUUGGGUUUGAAUUCUUUUUUAUUGUAUUUGGGUUUGAAUUCUUCACUCCCCUAUCUUAUGAAGGCUGGCCUUGUCCAGAGGUUUAUGGGGAAGAGCAGAAAAUACUCAUCCAAAACAGCCAAGAACAUGUAGGGAAGGAAAAAAUAUAUUUUCCUCACCCAUCACUAAAUUUAUGGCUGAGAUACCUAUAACAAAAGAAAAGCAUACACAUUUAUGAAACAAAGACCCCAAGACAAGGUUAAACCUGUGUAUUUUUAUACUUAGGUUUGAUGAAGAGUAGACAAUUGUAAGAGAAAUAUAAUUAAAGAACAAAACAGUAUGAUCUAAUGAUAAUGAACUGGGAAGUACUUAGUAAGGCCUGUUUGUUCAGAUUCUUUUUGGCAUCUGUGUCUUCCUGGGUAUAGGGUGGGCACCUCUUGAAUGAGGGUCUUAAGACCUGCUUCAGGGAAGAAGAGGGAGUAGAAGGUGAGAGUGACCUUCCUGCUUCUGCUGUUUUCUCAAAUGCCAAGGUGCUAUAUUUUGUAGUAGCAUGUCCUGAACUCCAUCAAACCCUAAGAACCAAAGGAUAAAACAGAGUUGAGCAGGUAAACUGAGUUCCAAAUUGAGGGAGAGGUCUCUGGAGGACUGGGGUAGAUCUGAGGAAAUCUGGACAUCUGAGGGAGGAAGGAAGGAGUAACUGGAAGUGAGUCCAUAGCAAUGACUCGUUGAUGAGGGAGAAGCUAUGGAUACUUGCCUGCAGCAACUUCUCCUUUUAGGAGCCAUCCUAGGCGGGCAGGGAGACUUACAGGGCAAGACUGAAAGCUGUGCAUUUAUACCUCUUAAGUAGCUCUCACUCGAUGCCUUUUGACAGGCUGUCUGCUUAAUUUAUGCUCUUGGGCCUCUAGGUCUCAUCUGUCAAAUGUCCUAUAAAGAACUAGAGUGUUUUGAAGGUCUCUUUCCGGUUCUAAAAUCCUAGAGUUUUUAGAUUUUUCUCCACUCUGCCUAAUUUCUUUUAGAUUCCUAUAGAACAUCGGCUCUCCUUGAGUUUGAAAAGAAGCCUCAUGAAGAAAAUAGUCUGUUUCUCACUUACUUUGUGAAGUCUUUUUCCACUUGGAUUUUCUAGAAUUAUAAAUCAUUAUACUUUCAUUUUUCUUAAUUGAAAGGAGUUUUGUGAGCUACAUAGAAUUUAUUUUGAAAUUUAAUUAUGUCUAGAUUUAAUGUUAGUAAGCUGUUUUUACUCACAACACUCUGACAUCAAAUCGGUGUCUAACAAUUCAAUUCCGACACUAUCUACCUGGAAUUUGUGUCAGAUCCCACAAGUUAAAGGGGUCAGUCCUGCAUGACUGCCCCAACUUCAGAUGCCAAUUAUAGAAGUCUCGGGCUACCCAUACUCCUGAUAGACCAGCUAUAAACCGGGGGUUCCCACACUAUGACUUCAAGUUCGAUAACUUGCUAGAGCAAGUCACGUAACUCAAGAAAGUGCUUUACCUACUAUUACUGAUUUCUUAUAAAGGAUACAACUCAGGAAUAGCCCAAUGGAAGAGGUACAUAGGGAAAAAUAUGGGGUGGGUGGGGGUAGUGCCACCUUCCUAGCACCUCAGUGUGUUCACCAACCUGGAAGACCUCUGAACUAGUCAUUUAGGGGUUUUUAUGGAGACUUCAUUACAUGAUUGACUGAAUCUCAGGCCUCUGGUAAUUAACCCAAUCUCCAGUCCCUCUUCCCUCCCCAGUGGUUGGAGGGUAGGGCUGAAAGUUCCAAGCUUCUUUUCAAGGUUUGCUCUUUUGGAUGACCAGUCCCCAUUCUGAAGCUACCUAAGGGCCUCUAGACAGCAGUGAUCUCAUUAGCAUGCAAUAGACACUCAUCACUCUGGAGAUUCCAAGGGUUUUAGGAACCAGGGACUAAGACCAAAUAUAUUUUUUAAUACCAUAAUCAGUAAAUAGUUAAAUAUGGAAAACUCUCAAUUUUGCUUUUGCCACCAAACAAAUUCAAACACGUUCUAUGUAGUUUGCAAAGAAAGAAUUCAUAAAGAAAAUAGUUCCUGUAUUUUCAUAAAGAUAUUGAAUUUUAAUUAAAUAUGAAAUUUGGCUUCAUAUCCUGCAUAAAGGUAUAAAGCCACAUUGUGGAAAAUGGCAUAAUUUAGAAACAAAAUCUACCUUGAGCUAUUUUACUUAAUAUCUUCAGCUCUGAACUAAAUAACUGCUUAAUUCCUUUAGAUAACCAAAGAACACUUAAAUAGAAAUUAAGAAAAUUGUUUUUAGGUAUUUUCAGUUUGAAGAACUUGCUAAAUGGAUUUCAUUGAUCUUCCCUUGAGGAAACAUAGAAUAUUUUAAAUCUUAUACAUUAACUAGCUAAUUCAACAAUUGGGUCCCUAUUAUAUGCCAGGCUAGGUGCUAAGAAUACAAAAGUGAGUACAGCUGGUCUCUACCUUUUAAGGCACUUAAUCCUAUUCUGCUCCAAGGAGGCAGCAGGGCAAACAUGGCUCAGCUGGUUGGUUCAGGAGUCUGAUUAUCUAGGUCACACCUCACCUCCAUUUACCAGCUGCAAAACACUAGAGAAGUUAUCUACUACAUCCUGAGUUUCAAUUUCCUCAUCUACGAAAAAGGCACAAUCAUAGAACCUCAAAAGAGUGUCGUGGCUAAAAUAGUUAGGAUAAUAUUUAGAGUAUGUGAAAUAUUUAGAAUAUAUUUGUGAUGGGUUUUUUUUUUUUUUUUGGAUAUGUUAACUUGGUUAAGCUAUGGUUCCAGCUAUUCAACCUAACGAUAACCUAGGUGCUGUGGAAAUUGUGUUUUGUAAAUGUGAGUCCAUAAUCAGUUGACUUUAAAUAAGGGAGAGCAUUCUAAAUAGUCUGGGUGGGUCUGAUUCAAUCAGUUGAAAGGCCUUAAAACCAGGGCUGAGACUUCCCUGAAAAAGAAAACAUCCACCUACGGACAGCAGCUUCAGCCUGUGCAGGAGAGUUCCUGAUGGCCUGCUCUGUGGAUUUUGGAUUUCCUUAUCCAGUUCCUUAAUUGUGUAAGCCUAUUCCUUGUAGUAAAUCUAUAUCCAUAUUUAUCUAUAUAUAUAUUAUCCUCUGUUAUUUGUGCAUUUCUGGUUGAACGCUGGGUGAUAUAGAUGUCAAAAUUGUAGUGAAUGUAAAGUGCUUAGCAGUAAAAGUCAUAAACAUUAUUUUAAAAAAACAACAAUAAAAACAACAAUCCAUGUUUUGUUAUGGUUGCUGGGUUUGGGAACCCUCAAGAAAAAGACUAGACAUGAAGACGCCAUUUAAACCAAGGCUUACAGUAACAAAGAAAGGACUCUAGGUUGAGGCAAAUACAAUAGCAAGCAGUAGGUUUCUCUCAAGGGCAGGAUAUAAGUCGGGGAAAAAAUAUCUUCUAGGUCUCAGCAUGAUGGCUUGCACCUGUAAUCUCAACACUUUGGGAGGCCAAGGUGGGAAGACUGCUUAAGGCCAUGAGUUAGAGAACAGCCUAAGCAAUAUGACUUGACCCUAUCUCUAGAGAAAAUAAAAGAAACUUAGCCAGGCAUGGUAGCACUUGCCUGCAGUUCCAGCUACCUGGGAGACUGAGGUGAGAGGAUCACUUGAGUUCAGGAGUUGGAGGCUGCAGUGAGCUAUGAUCAUGCCACUGCACUCCAGCCUGAGUGACAGAGCAGGACCCUGUCUCUAAAAAUGAACAAACAAAUGAAAAAACAACCAAAAACUCAUGUCUUAGUCCAUUUGAGCUGCUAUUCCAAAAUGUCAUAGGCUGGUUGCAUAUAAACAACAAAAAUUCAUUUCUCACAGUUCUGGAGACUGGGAAGUCCAAGACCAAGAAGCUGGUAGAUUUAGGGCCCAUUACCAGAUUCCUAGAUGGUGCCUUCUCCCUGUGUCCUCACACAGUGGAAGGGGCAAGGCAGCUCUCUGGGCCUCUUUUAUUUGGGGACCAACCCCAUUCAUUAGGGCUCCAUGGCCUCAUGACCUAAUCACCUCCCAAAGGCCCCACUUCCUAAUGCCAUCUCCUGGGGGGUUAGAAUUGCAACAUCUGAAUUUUGAAGAAACACAAACAUUCAGAUCCUAGCACACUAUUUAUAAUAUAAGGAACAGCUAUAUAGAAUCAAGGUUGGAAAUGGGUGGUUCAAGAGAAAAAUCCUGUACACUAGUUGUUAGUUUGGCCUGUAGAAUGAUUUUUUAAAAAGCAUUUAAAAAUAAUUUUUAAAAAUGAACCUACAAUUUGUUAAAAAAUUAAGAGAUUUUUGCAUAAAAUACAGAUAUCUGGCUUUUUUGAAAACCUGGAAGCUCUGGCCACACUAAGCCCAUACUGUCUCUGGGUCAUAAACAUUUGAUGCUAGUCCUUUCUGUGUGGUCUCCACAAUGUGCUGUGGAAGACAAGGCACAGCUGCCUCCUGCGUUUGUAGAAUCUGCUUGAACCCUGUGGGCAUCUAUGAUACCCUGCCCUAGACAAUCUCCUAAAACCUGGCCUUAAACUUUUCUUGACCUUCUUUGGCCCAAAAGCUUCCAUUCCUUACUUAGGCAAACUUUUCCCAUGAUCACUCCCUGGACUGUCUAUUCUGAAAGUUUCAUUUAUUUUUUCUAUAUUGUCUUAAUAAUAGCCAACUCCCUAGACUGCUAUACUUCCCUUAACGUUUUUGUUAAUCUUACUAGCAGGUCACACAAUGCCUGAAUACAUUUCUCUGAGACACAGUCAUGAUGAAAGAGUACAUAGCUUCUACAUAGACAUUAAAAUAGAACAUUUUUUCCCUAAACUACUUGUCACCUGGCCACUUGUACAAUGCCAGCAGAUGACUAUGGGUCUGACUUGAGAAAUAAAACCGAGGGAGUCAGGCUCAGAAAUGAACUGCCUUAAAACGCCCUGUACCAUAUCUAGUCACGUGACAAUAAAUACAGACAUGUUUCUGAUACAGUGGUUUCUGUGUACAGGCACACACUGACAGGUACCUUAAAAAAAAAAAUGGGAUGACAACAUACUUGUAUAUAGGUACUCAUCCUCACCUCUCUCUGUCCAAUCUUAGAGGAAAAUGUGUCUGCUUUAAAGUAACCUAUGAUCUGUGUCUCCCUGGCACCUCACUGAAGCCGGGAGUCCUCUCUUGACUGUUUUCCUCCACUUUCCACAUCUUCCUCCAAUUGGUUCCUUCCCUAUAAGCUAGAAAUACGUUCACAUCACUGCCACUAACAAAUCUUUGUCCUUACUAUAUAGGCCUUUGUAGCUACCAUCUUUCUCCCCCCAU
Molecule: long non-coding RNA, 7161 nt
Filed under: Homo sapiens (human)
Lineage: Eukaryota; Metazoa; Chordata; Mammalia; Primates; Hominidae
Description: HSALNT0108942
Source: RNAcentral